CGUUAUGGCGGCUGUGUGAGGGACACCCUCGGGUGUGCCGGUUGUUCCGUUUCCGGUCCGCGAACCCUUGCACAGCUGCCACCCCA
This 86-nucleotide non-coding RNA is filed under the name Pseudomonas asplenii. The record is from RNAcentral. Lineage: Bacteria; Pseudomonadati; Pseudomonadota; Gammaproteobacteria; Pseudomonadales; Pseudomonadaceae.